UACGUAGGGGGCGAGCGUUGUCCGGAAUUACUGGGCGUAAAGGGUGCGUAGGCGGUUUGGUAAGUUGGAUGUGAAAUACCCGGGCUUAACUUGGGGGCUGCAUCCAAUACUGUCGGACUUGAGUGCAGGAGAGGAAAGCGGAAUUCCUAGUGUAGCGGUGAAAUGCGUAGAUAUUAGGAGGAACACCGGUGGCGAAGGCGGCUUUCUGGACUGUAACUGACGCUGAGGCACGAAAGCGUGGGGAGCAAAC
RNAcentral lists this ribosomal RNA (250 nucleotides) under uncultured archaeon. RNAcentral's name for it is "partial 16S ribosomal RNA". It matches the Rfam family "Bacterial small subunit ribosomal RNA", at positions 524 to 773 of the family's 1533-position model. The record is from RNAcentral.